This is a long non-coding RNA of Arachis duranensis, 1165 nucleotides long. RefSeq lists it as uncharacterized. NCBI's taxonomy places the organism in Eukaryota, Viridiplantae, Streptophyta, Magnoliopsida, Fabales, Fabaceae. The record is from RefSeq and is a predicted model, not a curated record. The transcript is spliced from 4 exons.
CCGCUGAAGUCUCAUUUCUCUCAUUUCUGACAUUUCACCCCUCUUUAAUCUGUCAGUGCCUCUACCUCACUUUGCUAUCGCAAUCUCUUCACUUCGCCGUCGCCGCCAUCUCCUCCUCUUCCUCACACCAAGUUCUACACCGAACGACUCAAGUAACAUUCUUCGCUACUACCUCAUCCUCAAUCUGCGUUGGUUGUCGCUAGUUCAUGUCACAGUCUCUGUCGAUGGCUUGUAGCCUCAUGUGGUGGUUUCUAUCGCCGCCUCUGCCAUACAUUAUGAUCUCUAGUUUCAAUUUACACAUCAGUAACCUUUUCAUCCAUCUCUUGUUCAAUUGUGGUUCCUUAUUUGAGAAAUUCUCAUUUUUUAGGGUUUAUGUGAUUCAUGCUAAUUAAUCCAUUCUUGCAAAUCAUCAGUGAAUUUGCGUACUCACUAUUUCGGUCCUCCUUUAAAGAUGUCAACCAUGGCACCUGAAGCAUACAAGGAGGUAGUCCUACAGGCAAAAGAACAUAUUAAGGCAGGGGAUAUUUUUUAGAUUGUGUUAAGCCAUAGAUUUGAGCGAAGAAAAUUUGCCGAUCUGUUCGAAGUUUAUAAAGCCUUGAAAUUUGUAAAUCCAAGUCCAUAUAUGACUUAUUUGCAGGAUCUUUCAAGUCCAGAUAUUUUUACGCGCAUAAAGAAUAACAAAAUUGUGAAUCGUCCAUUGGUCGGGACGUGUAAAAGAGGGAAGACACUAGAGGAAGAUAAGCAGUUAGAAGUGAAGCUCGAGUGAUGAAAAGCAAUGUGCAGAGAAUGUCAUGCUGGUUGAUUUGGGAUGCAAUGAUGUUGGAAAGAUCCAAAAGAUCCCAGCUUGAGGAAGAAACUUGAAAACUCAUUUUUGCUUGGACCAGUUUAGUUGGAAAUUGAUAUAAUUGUAUGGAAUUUUGAUGUAAAUAUUUUAUUAUUCAAAAUCUGAUGGUUGGCAAGAUUAGGGAAUAGUUAAUUGUUAAUUGAUGGUUGGUUUAUGAUUGUUUGGAGUCCUUGAUGGUGAUUGUGUGUUCACAAGACGAAUGUGGUGGGAGCCAGAUUCUUGCUUACAAGCACCAGUGAGGUUUAUGGAGAUCCUCUUCAGCACCCUCAGAAGGAGACUUAUUGGGGCAACGUAAUUCCAUUGGUAAUUUUCUUAAUUUAA